This 120-nucleotide long non-coding RNA is filed under the name Parus major (Great Tit). RNAcentral describes it as "lncRNA (ENSPMJG00000005949.1)". Lineage: Eukaryota; Metazoa; Chordata; Aves; Passeriformes; Paridae. The record is from RNAcentral.
UAAUUUGCCUUUUGCAGAGCGGGAAAAGCUGAACUUUUUUUCCCGAGUGCUGGACGCAGCCCCCAUAAAUAUGGAGCAUUUGUUGUGGCCGCCUGACGGAUGCCCAGGGGGAAAGGAGAA